Molecule: unclassified non-coding RNA, 329 nt
Filed under: soil metagenome
Description: partial contains 5.8S ribosomal RNA, internal transcribed spacer 2, and large subunit ribosomal RNA
Rfam family: 5.8S ribosomal RNA (bases 1-120)
Source: RNAcentral
GAUGAAGAACGUAUCGAAAUGCGAUAAGUAAUGUGAAUUGCAGAAUUCAGUGAAUCAUCGAGUCUUUGAACGCACAUUGCGCCCCCUGGUAUUCCGGGGGGCAUGCCUGUCCGAGCGUCAUUACAACCCUCAAGCUCAGCUUGGUGUUGGGCCCCGCCGCCCCGGCGGGCCCUAAAGUCAGUGGCGGUGCCGUCCGGCUCCGAGCGUAGUAAUUCUUCUCGCUCUGGAGGUCCGGUCGUGUGCUCGCCAGCAACCCCCAAUUUUUUUCAGGUUGACCUCGGAUCAGGUAGGGAUACCCGCUGAACUUAAGCAUAUCAAUAAGCGGAGGA